RNAcentral lists this transfer RNA (90 nucleotides) under Paracoccus gahaiensis. RNAcentral describes it as "tRNA-Ser". It matches the Rfam family "tRNA". From Rfam's summary of the family: Transfer RNA (tRNA) molecules are approximately 80 nucleotides in length. Their secondary structure includes four short double-helical elements and three loops (D, anti-codon, and T loops). Further hydrogen bonds mediate the characteristic L-shaped molecular structure. tRNAs have two regions of fundamental functional importance: the anti-codon, which is responsible for specific mRNA codon recognition, and the 3' end, to which the tRNAs corresponding amino acid is attached (by aminoacyl-tRNA synthetases). tRNAs cope with the degeneracy of the genetic code in two manners: having more than one tRNA (with a specific anti-codon) for a particular amino acid; and 'wobble' base-pairing, i.e. permitting non-standard base-pairing at the 3rd anti-codon position. Lineage: Bacteria; Pseudomonadati; Pseudomonadota; Alphaproteobacteria; Rhodobacterales; Paracoccaceae. The record is from RNAcentral.
GGAGAGGUGCCGGAGUGGUCGAACGGGGCGGUCUCGAAAACCGUUGAGCCUGCAAGGGCUCCGUGGGUUCGAAUCCCACCCUCUCCGCCA